UCUUCUCAGCAUAAUCUAAGGGUGGCAGCAAAUAUGGCUUCUCCUGAUGGGCUUCAGAGAGGCUGAUCCUCCAGACUAGACAAGCCAAUUGUUAUGAAUAAUUUAUUUUUGUUUGGGAGUUUUAUGUCACUUGAUCACACAAGAGUUUUAUAUCAUCAGUUGUGGAUAAGAGUCACUGUGGGCUUCUAGUAGGAUCAUAAAGAUAAGCCGCAAAUAUUUCAAUAAAUAACAAAAGGUGCACCUUGCCAAUCUCUGAGCCCCAAGAUGAAUUGAAAGAGUGGAUGGAGGAUUUCUCCACCUUGAGGUCCCUCAGCCGCCAGAGUUGGAAAGCCUGCCGAAAGAGGAGACUGAGGUUGAAAUGCCACCCAGACCACCUCAGGAAUCUCAGCCACCAAGGAUUUGAUGACACGGGAAACACAAUCCUUCAUCAAAUGGGAAAAUGAGCACAGAAACUACAUAUAAAACACACAUAAAGAGAAUGGGAGGAGAAACCUAAAUGCUGUCUACGCUUUGUGUCGCUGAAUGAGAAAACUGAGCCUCAGAGAGGUUAAAUAACUUGUCCAAGAUCGCCCAGCUAAAUGUGGUCCGAGCACAGAUUCAAGUCUGCCGUACCUGGGGCCGUCGUUGCACCAAUCCCCAUUGUCCCACUGCUGAGAGACUUGCAUGUGUGCAGAAAGCAGUGAGUGGCCAGAGGAGGAGGGACUGGUGUUGAGUUGGACUGGAUUCCAGGGAGUUGACAACCUUCUCACCAGACCUUUCAGCGUGGAGGAAACGCUUGAGCUCAAAAAAAGGAAGUUAGAGAAGCAAAAGAAGUUAAGGAUAAAAACAAUCUAUGAGGGGAGGAGGCCAGUGCCUAAUGGGUACAGCAAAGCCAAGGAAGCCACAGUCCUACAAGUAAUCAGAGGCCAAGCUGAGGCUAGAGUCAAAGCUGGAAGGAUGUGCUCCCAUGACCCAUCACGGCAAACGGGUAAUUCAGACCCCUCUUCAUUCCACUAGGGACAAAUCCAAAAAACUGCAGAAUGAGCAAAUCCUUAAAACUAAACACAUGGAAGAAAUGCAUGGAUGGUCUCGGGAUAUAUAAAGAAGAGGGAUAUUGCUGAGCAAUAUUGUCCGUUACUUUCCCUGGCACAUUUAAAAUUGGGAGGUUAUUAAUAGAUUCAAAGAUAGUAGCAAGGUUAUUCUUCUCUUUACAGUAAAUAUAAUAAUUAUUAUUAUUACUACCGGUAUGAC
This is a long non-coding RNA of Talpa occidentalis (Iberian mole), 1230 nucleotides long. RefSeq lists it as uncharacterized. The record is from RefSeq and is a predicted model, not a curated record. The transcript is spliced from 3 exons. Lineage: Eukaryota; Metazoa; Chordata; Mammalia; Eulipotyphla; Talpidae.